Molecule: ribosomal RNA, 847 nt
Filed under: Salmonella enterica
Lineage: Bacteria; Pseudomonadati; Pseudomonadota; Gammaproteobacteria; Enterobacterales; Enterobacteriaceae
Also listed under: 2 other names
Description: partial 23S ribosomal RNA
Rfam family: Bacterial large subunit ribosomal RNA
Source: RNAcentral
AGACCCGAAACCCGGUGAUCUAGCCAUGGGCAGGUUGAAGGUUGGGUAACACUAACUGGAGGACCGAACCGACUAAUGUUGAAAAAUUAGCGGAUGACCUGUGGCUGGGGGUGAAAGGCCAAUCAAACCGGGAGAUAGCUGGUUCUCCCCGAAAGCUAUUUAGGUAGCGCCUCGUGAAUUCAUCUCCGGGGGUAGAGCACUGUUUCGGCUAGGGGGCCAUCCCGGCUUACCAACCCGAUGCAAACUGCGAAUACCGGAGAAUGUUAUCACGGGAGACACACGGCGGGUGCUAACGUCCGUCGUGAAGAGGGAAACAACCCAGACCGCCAGCUAAGGUCCCAAAGUCAUGGUUAAGUGGGAAACGAUGUGGGAAGGCCCAGACAGCCAGGAUGUUGGCUUAGAAGCAGCCAUCAUUUAAAGAAAGCGUAAUAGCUCACUGGUCGAGUCGGCCUGCGCGGAAGAUGUAACGGGGCUAAACCAUGCACCGAAGCUGCGGCAGCGACGCUUAUGCGUUGUUGGGUAGGGGAGCGUUCUGUAAGCCUGUGAAGGUGGCCUGUGAGGGUUGCUGGAGGUAUCAGAAGUGCGAAUGCUGACAUAAGUAACGAUAAAGCGGGUGAAAAGCCCGCUCGCCGGAAGACCAAGGGUUCCUGUCCAACGUUAAUCGGGGCAGGGUGAGUCGACCCCUAAGGCGAGGCCGAAAGGCGUAGUCGAUGGGAAACGGGUUAAUAUUCCCGUACUUGGUGUUACUGCGAAGGGGGGACGGAGAAGGCUAUGUUGGCCGGGCGACGGUUGUCCCGGUUUAAGCGUGUAGGUGUGUGUUCCAGGUAAAUCCGGUUCACUUUAACAC